AUUGAACGCUGGCGGCAGGCCUAACACAUGCAAGUCGAACGGAGCGGCGGACGGGUGAGUGAUGCCUAGGACUCUGCCUGGUAGUGGGGGAUGACGUCCGGAAACGGGCGCUGAUACCGCAUACUAUCAGAUGAGCCUAGGUCGGAUUAGCUAGUGGGGGGGGGAAAGGCCUACCAGGGCGACGAUCCGUAACUGGUCUGAGAGGAUGAUCAGCCACACUGGAACUGAGACACGGUCCAGACUCCUACGGGAGGCAGCAGUGGGGAAUAUUGGACAAUGGGCGAAAGCCUGAUGCAGCCAUGCCGCGUGUGUGAAGAAGGUCUUCGGAUUGUAAAGCACUUUAAGUUGGGAGGCGUUACCAACAGAAUAAGCACCGGCUAACUUCGUGCCAGCAGCCGCGGUAAUUC
RNAcentral lists this ribosomal RNA (407 nucleotides) under uncultured bacterium. RNAcentral's name for it is "partial 16S ribosomal RNA". It matches the Rfam family "Bacterial small subunit ribosomal RNA", at positions 30 to 526 of the family's 1533-position model. The record is from RNAcentral.